AGUGAACGCUGGCGGUAGGCCUAACACAUGCGAGUCGAACGGCAGCACAGUAAGAGCUUGCUCUUACGGGUGGCGAGUGGCGGACGGGUGAGGAAUACAUCGGAAUCUACUUUUUCGUGGGGGAUAACGUAGGGAAACUUACGCUAAUACCGCAUACGACCUACGGGUGAAAGCAGGGGAUCUUCGGACCUUGCGCGAUUGAAUGAGCCGAUGUCGGAUUAGCUAGUUGGCGGGGUAAAGGCCCACCAAGGCGACGAUCCGUAGCUAGUCUGAGAGGAUGAUCAGCCACACUGGAACUGAGACACGGUCCAGACUCCUACGGGAGGCAGCAGUGGGGAAUAUUGGACACUGGGCGCAAGCCUGAUCCAGCCAUACCGCGUGGGUGAAGAAGGCCUUCGGGUUGUAAAGCCCUUUUGUUGGGAAAGAAAAGCAGCAGGUUAAUACCCCGCUGUUCUGACGGUACCCAAAGAAUAAGCACCGGCUAACUUCGUG
This 492-nucleotide ribosomal RNA is filed under the name uncultured bacterium. RNAcentral's name for it is "partial 16S ribosomal RNA". It matches the Rfam family "Bacterial small subunit ribosomal RNA", at positions 29 to 507 of the family's 1533-position model. The record is from RNAcentral.